AAAAUCAAUUUAUAUUUUUAGGCGCCAUAAAAGGAAAAGGAUUAAUUCAAAUUUUAAUUGUUUAUUAUACUAAUGUAGAUUAUAAGUUGAAAUAAAACAGACUGUUGAACUUAAAAUACUAUAUUAAACACAUGUUUACAAAGUACCUUCUUAAAAAUAAAUGCUUUUUAAUUUCUAAGAAUUAUGUAACUAAUGAAUAGGUUCCGGUUGUUGAGUAAGCAGAAGACCAAAUCUCUUCUUAAUAGUUAUCCUUUGCCGAGAAUAUUUAUCUUCCGGGGAGAAACGUGCUGAAAUAACACGCUCAGAUUAAUUACAUUAGAAAGUACUAUAAUUCAAUAAAUAUAAUAAUUUCGGAUAUUAUUUCUUACCUGGAUGCGCUGAUAAAGUUGGUUUUCCACUUGGAUCUAUCGUCUACAAAAAUAAAACAAUAAGUAUUUAUUCAACAAAUUGUAACAGAAUAAUAAACGUGACAUAUAAAUUGUAUAGGUUAUAAUAAUAUACACACCGCUAAAGUGUAUUGUCGUUCACCAUUUUCAUUUAAAUAAUAUCUUAGAUACAUUUUGAAGAGGUAUUAAUAAGUAAUAAUGUUGAUAAAUUUAUCUUCCUUCAAUAUCAAAUUUUUAGAUUUCGGUAACGGUAAACUAAGAAUCACAAGAACUGACAAGAACUGCAAGAACAACAAAUUAAUUAAUGAACAAAAAGACAGCUAGGGUCGCUAGGGACACGCAAAAAGUAUCGAUACUUUGUGCUAUCGAGUACAUUUUUAUUCGAUACUGAUACUUUUACUCAGGAAGCUUAAAUAAAACACACAGAUAAGCUUCUUGUUGGCUUCUUGCUUUUACUCAAUGUGUACUUUUUGGCAGGU
Molecule: unclassified non-coding RNA, 865 nt
Filed under: Melitaea cinxia (Glanville fritillary)
Lineage: Eukaryota; Metazoa; Arthropoda; Insecta; Lepidoptera; Nymphalidae
Description: misc RNA ENSMCXG00005011869.1
Source: RNAcentral